This 829-nucleotide ribosomal RNA is filed under the name uncultured marine archaeon. RNAcentral describes it as "bacterial SSU rRNA". It matches the Rfam family "Archaeal small subunit ribosomal RNA", at positions 44 to 879 of the family's 1478-position model. The record is from RNAcentral.
CUAAGCCAUGCGAGUCAUUGUAGCAAUACAAGGCAGACGGCUCAGUAACGCGUAGUCAACCUAACCUAUGGACGGGAAUAACCUCGGGAAACUGAGAAUAAUGCCCGAUAGAACACUAUACCUGGAAUGGUUUGUGUUCCAAAUGAUUUAUCGCCGUAGGGUGGGACUGCGGCCUAUCAGUUUGUUGGUGAGGUAAUGGCCCACCAAGACUAUUACAGGUACGGGCUCUGAGAGGAGUAGCCCGGAGAUGGGUACUGAGACACGGACCCAGGCCCUAUGGGGCGCAGCAGGCGAGAAAACUUUGCAAUGUGCGAAAGCACGACAAGGUUAAUCCGAGUGGUUUGUGCUAAACGAACCUUUUGUCGGUCCUAGAAACACCGAUGAAUAAGGGGUGGGCAAGUUCUGGUGUCAGCCGCCGCGGUAAAACCAGCACCUCAAGUGGUCAGGAUGAUUAUUGGGCCUAAAGCAUCCGUAGCCGGCGCUAUAAGUUUUCGGUUAAAUCUGUACGCUCAACGUACAGGCUGCCGGGAAUACUGUAGCGCUAGGGAGUGGGAGAGGUAGACGGUACUCGGUAGGAAGGGGUAAAAUCCUUUGAUCUAUUGAUGACCACCUGUGGCGAAGGCGGUCUACCAGAACACGUCCGACGGUGAGGGAUGAAAGCUGGGGGAGCAAACCGGAUUAGAUACCCGGGUAGUCCCAGCUGUAAACUAUGCAAACUCAGUGAUGCAUUAGCUUGCGGCCAAUGCAGUGCUGCAGGGAAGCCGUUAAGUUUGCCGCCUGGGAAGUACGUACGCAAGUAUGAAACUUAAAGGAAUUGGCGGGGGAGCAC